GCAUAUCAAUAAGCGGAGGAAAAGAAACCAACAGGGAUUGCCCUAGUAACGGCGAGUGAAGCGGCAACAGCUCAAAUUUGAAAUCUGGCCCUCGGGUCCGAGUUGUAAUUUGUAGAGGAUGCUUUUGGUGAGGUGCCUUCCGAGUUCCCUGGAACGGGACGCCAUAGAGGGUGAGAGCCCCGUCUGGUUGGAUACCGAGCCUCUGUAAAGCUCCUUCGACGAGUCGAGUAGUUUGGGAAUGCUGCUCUAAAUGGGAGGUAUAUGUCUUCUAAAGCUAAAUACCGGCCAGAGACCGAUAGCGCACAAGUAGAGUGAUCGAAAGAUGAAAAGCACUUUGAAAAGAGAGUUAAAAAGUACGUGAAAUUGUUGAAAGGGAAGCGCUUAUGACCAGACUUGGGCUUGGUUGAUCAUCCUGGGUUCUCCCUGGUGCACUCUUCCAGUUCAGGCCAGCAUCAGUUCGCUGCGGGGGAUAAAAGUUUUGGGAAUGUGGCUCCCUCGGGAGUGUUAUAGCCCAUUGCAUAAUACCCUGCUCCGGACUGAGGUUCGCGCAUCUGCAAGGAUGCUGGCGUAAUGGUCAUCAGCGACCCGUCUUGAAACACGGACCAAGGAGUCGUCUUCGUAUGCGAGUGUUCGGGUGUUAAACCCCUACGCGUAAUGAAAGUGAACGCAGGUGAGAGCUUCGGCGCAUCAUCGACCGAUCCUGAUGUUCUCGGAUGGAUUUGAGUAAGAGCAUACGGGGCCGGACCCGAAAGAAGGUGAACUAUGCCUGUAUAGGGUGAAGCCAGAGGAAACUCUGGUGGAGGCUCGCAGCGGUUCUGACGUGCAAAUCGAUCGUCAAAUAUGGGCAUGGGGGCGAAAGACUAAUCGAACCUUCUAGUAGCUGGUUUCCGCCGAU
This 895-nucleotide ribosomal RNA is filed under the name Calonectria orientalis. RNAcentral describes it as "LSU rRNA". It matches the Rfam family "Eukaryotic large subunit ribosomal RNA", at positions 38 to 965 of the family's 3401-position model. Lineage: Eukaryota; Fungi; Ascomycota; Sordariomycetes; Hypocreales; Nectriaceae. The record is from RNAcentral.